GUGCCCACACGUGAUGAGAACUAUGUUGGUAGGGACAUCUGAGAGGGUGAUGAAUGCCAACAAAUCUGAUCUGGGCAC
This 78-nucleotide small nucleolar RNA is filed under the name Acanthisitta chloris (rifleman). RNAcentral's name for it is "Small nucleolar RNA SNORD74". It matches the Rfam family "Small nucleolar RNA SNORD74". Rfam says of the family: Z18 also identified as U74 (SNORD74) belongs to the C/D class of snoRNA which contain the C (UGAUGA) and D (CUGA) box motifs. Most of the members of the box C/D family function in directing site-specific 2'-O-methylation of substrate RNAs. U74 is predicted to guide the 2'O-ribose methylation of 28S rRNA residue C3820. The record is from Rfam by way of RNAcentral. Lineage: Eukaryota; Metazoa; Chordata; Aves; Passeriformes; Acanthisittidae.